This is a long non-coding RNA of Paramacrobiotus metropolitanus, 1165 nucleotides long. RefSeq lists it as uncharacterized. The transcript is spliced from 3 exons. NCBI's taxonomy places the organism in Eukaryota, Metazoa, Tardigrada, Eutardigrada, Parachela, Macrobiotidae. The record is from RefSeq and is a predicted model, not a curated record.
UUAGUGCAUAACAUUUGUACCAGAAAUAUUUUUGAUUUGUUUUCAUUUUCGCGUCAGCAUAAUUUUUUGCUGCAUAAUUUAAUAUAAAAUAAUAUUCAUACAUAAUAUAAUAAUAUUUUGCAUAAUAUUUUGCUGCACAUAAUAACAUAUAUCCAAAGCGCUGUCUCACAGAGAAAACGCUACGUGACCAAAAAACCUUCUGCCUCGCUGGACCAUAAUGUACCUUGCGUUAGCGGUAACUCUGGUGCUGGAUGUAAUAUUUGCGAAUCCCAGGUUUUGCUUUAGCGUCAUUGCCCCUAAGAGAAUACCCGAAACCUGUGGUGGAGAAAUUCAUCUGGCGCCUGAUUCACAAUGGUUACUGCUAACACCGCGAUAUCUGGCAUAUUUCGAUCCCAUUGUACGCUGUGAGUGGAGAUUAAACGCUCCGGAUGGAUAUGAAUUUCUGGCAAGUGAUGAUCAUAUUAAUAAAUAAUAAUCACCGGUUUCUUGUAGGUACGAUUUCUGUUCUGUUAUACCGUACUACGACUUCGCUCGUAGAUUGGUUAAACCUACUACUGUUAGUGUACGGGUUCAGUACAUUGAUCACCAGCCUCUCAUGCGGUGUAUUACAUGUUCUGUUAUCCGAUACAGUGUGUUGCAAGUUUCCAACUUACACCUUUAAUUUUCAUAAUGCAUUUUAAGUGAUAAUGAAAAAACUGAAAGUCCGACGUAAGGUAAACAUAAGCGAUAUUCCGAGGUUUCUGUGAAGUUUGUUCGACUGGUGAUCAUGUUGGUUAUUACUUGUCAUACAAGUAAUGGUAAUAAGAAUGGUGAUUAUCAUAGCAUAUGCAGUACUGUCUUGGCAAAGAGAAAAAAGAUUAUAGGAUAUAGGUAGCACUACCCAUGACAAAUGGCGCUCCUGGUUAGAACAAUGUACCAACCUGGCGGUGGCUGCGGUUCUGCCCCAGCCGAAUUUGGGUCGCCGUUGCCGACAGGGUUUCCGUCGGUUCCUGACGUAAAGCAGUGGCAUUCGGCCGCAUAUGCUGGUUAUUCUGCUUGUGGAUGGACACAGGAAGCAACCAACCAUUAUCCCGAUGCCGUUUCCCUGGAGUCAAUGGCCUCUGUGGUCCCCAAACAGGGCUGUGCGAAUCGGCCCAUUCCACACCAUAUCCCAGACUAUUCUAAG